This 240-nucleotide ribosomal RNA is filed under the name uncultured bacterium. RNAcentral describes it as "partial 16S ribosomal RNA". It matches the Rfam family "Bacterial small subunit ribosomal RNA", at positions 15 to 257 of the family's 1533-position model. The record is from RNAcentral.
GAUCCUGGCUCAGAUUGAACGCUGGCGGCAGGCUUAACACAUGCAAGUCGAGCGGAGAUGAGGUGCUUGCACCUUAUCUUAGCGGCGGACGGGUGAGUAAUGCUUAGGAAUCUGCCUAUUAGUGGGGGACAACAUUCCGAAAGGAAUGCUAAUACCGCAUACGUCCUACGGGAGAAAGCAGGGGAUCUUCGGACCUUGCGCUAAUAGAUGAGCCUAAGUCGGAUUAGCUAGUUGGUGGGG